CCUACGGGUGGCAGCAGUGAGGAAUAUUGGUCAAUGGACGAGAGUCUGAACCAGCCAAGUAGCGUGAAGGAUGACUGCCCUAUGGGUUGUAAACUUCUUUUAUAUGGGAAUAAAAUGUUCCACGUGUGGGAUUUUGUAUGUAACAUAUGAAUAAGGAUCGGCUAACUCCGUGCCAGCAGCCGCGGUAAUACGGAGGAUCCGAGCUGUUACCGGAUUUAUUGGGUUUAAAGGGAGCGUAGGUGGAUUGUUAAGUCAGUUGUGAAAGUUUGCGGCUCAACCGUAAAAUUGCAGUUGAAACUGGCAGUCUUGAGUACAGUAGAGGUGGGCGGAAUUCGUGGUGUAGCGGUGAAAUGCUUAGAUAUCACGAAGAACUCCGAUUGCGAAGGCAGUUCACUGGACUGCAACUGACACUGAGGCUCGAAAGUGUGGGUAUCAAACAGGAUUAGAUACCCGAGUAGUC
This 460-nucleotide ribosomal RNA is filed under the name uncultured bacterium. RNAcentral describes it as "partial 16S ribosomal RNA". It matches the Rfam family "Bacterial small subunit ribosomal RNA", at positions 338 to 795 of the family's 1533-position model. The record is from RNAcentral.